RNAcentral lists this ribosomal RNA (460 nucleotides) under uncultured bacterium. Its description in RNAcentral is "partial 16S ribosomal RNA". It matches the Rfam family "Bacterial small subunit ribosomal RNA", at positions 338 to 795 of the family's 1533-position model. The record is from RNAcentral.
CCUACGGGAGGCAGCAGUGAGGAAUAUUGGUCAAUGGACGGAAGUCUGAACCAGCCAUGCCGCGUGCAGGAAGACGGCUCUAUGAGUUGUAAACUGCUUUUGUACGAGGGUAAACCCAAAUACGUGUAUCCAUCUGAAAGUACCGUACGAAUAAGGAUCGGCUAACUCCGUGCCAGCAGCCGCGGUAAUACGGAGGAUCCAAGCGUUAUCCGGAUUUAUUGGGUUUAAAGGGUGCGUAGGCGGACGGAUAAGUUAGAGGUGAAAUGCCGGGGCUCAACUUGGGAAUUGCCUCUGAUACUGGUCGGCUAGAGAGUAGAUGCGGUAGGCGGAAUGUAUGGUGUAGCGGUGAAAUGCUUAGAGAUCAUACAGAACACCGAUUGCGAAGGCAGCUUACCAAGCUACGUCUGACGUUGAGGCACGAAAGCGUGGGGAGCAAACAGGAUUAGAUACCCCUGUAGUC